Pipra filicauda (Wire-tailed manakin) is the source of this 1940-nucleotide long non-coding RNA. RefSeq lists it as uncharacterized. The transcript has 2 exons. The record is from RefSeq and is a predicted model, not a curated record. NCBI's taxonomy places the organism in Eukaryota, Metazoa, Chordata, Aves, Passeriformes, Pipridae.
GGCUCGCUCGGCUCCGCUCGGCUCCGCUCGGCUCGGCUCGGCUCCGCUCGGCUCGGCUCCGCUCGGCUCCGCUCGGUUCGGGUUCUGCUCCAGGCGGCUCUGCCAUCCUCGACGGUGACUUUUGUACGACUGCGUUUUUAAUCAUCGCUCUGAAGUGCUGCUGUGCCUUAUUCUGUGUACUGUGCACCCCCCAAAUCUUCGUCGGGGGGAACAGACAACCACCUGUAGUCACAGGCUUAAUCAAACAAGCCCAUGCCAUGCUCAGAGCCCUUCUCCGCCUUUAUUUCUUAGUUUCUUCCCAUACUUAGUUUCUCCCCUCGAAAGGAGAGGGAAAGGCGUUUCCGGAAGGCGUAUCUGAUCACAGAACCACCCCCAGCCCCGCUGGUCUCCCAUGAAACCAACCCCGGCCUUACCGUACGGUGCCUUGCCCGGCCCAGCCUCGCCUCCCUGCUCCCAGCCGGCUGUGCCCUGCUACCAUCUCUGGGAGAAAAGAGCUGUGGAAGGGGAGAAAAGGUCACUGUCAGGAUUAAUCAGGACUGUAAUUUGCCAUGCGCUUUUUAGCCCUUUAAUGGAGCUCUAACUGUAGCUGUCCUCCAGCUCUGACCCUUCCCAGCUGUGGAGCUGUUCAGUGUCAGUGCAGGUGCCCUUAGGUAUCCAAGACACAGGGCUGGCAGGUAUGAAAUAGGACCUAACUUACUACAUCACAUCUAAAAUGACAUCAGACAUCAGUGUCCGGGAAACUGACUUGCUCCUUAAAACAUUCCCCAUUGACCCAGUGUGCUCAGGAAUUAGUCCAGGAUCUGCUCUGCUGAUGCGUGGCCUUGAUUCCCCUUUGCCCCUCCCUUGUGAAAAUUAAGUCAGAGGAAACUGAAAGAGGCAGACCCUCCUGGUGAAGUAGCAGAGGGAUGCAAAGUGAGUCUGUGUGCUAACUGGGUGGAGAAGUUACUCAUGUGCCAGGCAGGCACACGUUGUGUGAAAACAGGAGCUGCAGAGACCCUCUGAGGAUUCUUGAUGUGCUGCUGAAGUGCCAUGCUGGUGGUGAAGAUUUAAAAAUGCUGACAUCUAAUACAAGAGCUCGUCCAGAUUCUAUGACUGUGAAAUACUGUACAAAUACCUAAAUCUGGUACCACGGUAACUUGGAAGAACAGUUCUUACGUCUGAUUUUCCAUGUCUACAAAUAUGAAAAACAAGCUGCUUCAAAUACUAUCUUGAUUUCUUUAUUUGCCAAAAUUCUAUUAGUAUCUUCAGCUUGUCUUUAUUUGACUGCAUAAUUUUCCAAGUCUACUAUAUGUCUCCAUGUAUUCUCUAAACAUUUUUUCCCCAAAAUACAGUUAUUCGGGCCCUCGUCUAUACCUGCACUGAGACACAGAGCCACCAGACACCAAAGACAGUACUAGAAGCACCACAGGGAAUUCUGAAAUUACUAUCUGUAGUUUUAAUCCACGAAUUUAUAGCUUGUGUCAGUGGUAGCUGGGAUAAUUAGAAGAUAAUCUGCAUUUCCUUUAACAAGACAAAAAUACCACCCACACUACAAUUAACAAUAGCCCAGGCAGUUCUUAAGAAAUCCAUGCUGAGUGCUGGAUUCACAAAUUGACACUUAACGAUGAAAUCCUGUAUUACAGCAAAGUGAUUGAGAAGUUUACAUAGAACUAGGCACAUUUCACAUAUCUCUUGCCAGUAUCCUGGAUCCUUUCAGUGUCCAGUAUUAGACUGGAUCCAGAGAAGAUCUGAAGGUGCCAUCACUCAUGUGCAUCUUGUGGAUGACCAAGCGCUGUACAGCCGUACCCCAAGUGCUGAUCCCACCCGGCCGCUGGUUACCUACAGUCAGGACACGCUGUUGUACAGUCCUGGAGAAGUGGCAGGAAUUUCCUUUCAGACAGAAUUCCACCAAUUAUAUCUCAUACCAUUCUGUCAACAAUAAACCUGGGCCAUUCGUUAUA